This is a non-coding RNA of Paramuricea clavata, 1454 nucleotides long. The record is from the annotation of a GenBank genome assembly. NCBI's taxonomy places the organism in Eukaryota, Metazoa, Cnidaria, Anthozoa, Malacalcyonacea, Plexauridae.
AAAUUGCCAGAUAAUUUGAAGGAAGGUAUAUAUAGGUGUGUUUAAAUUUCGACUGACCUCACUUGGCAAGAAGAAAGUAUAGCAGAAAUUGGAAGAAAGACAGGAGCAAAGCAUGUAAGUAUAUUUAUUAGUAUUGGACUACUUUACAAAGCAUUACUUACGUCUGUUGGGUGAGUAUUGACUAUUUUUAUUGACUACCUUUAUUGAGUAUAUGGACUACUUUUUAGGAAUGCAGCAACAGCCCUGCUUUAAGCCUGGUUCACAUAUGCCUGCAGCAUGCCUGCGCUGUGUCAUUAUGCCUCUAGUUACCGCUGAAAUACCGGCAAAGUUGAACUCAAGUCAACUUUCCCGGCCUACCGCCGAUGUAACUGUGGCACUGGAGGCAAUCGGCGAACAAAUAUUCACAUAAUUUACGUUUUAAGCUACCACCGGCAUCGUCGCCGGUACGUCGCAGGCACGUCGCAGGCACGUCGCAGGCAUUAUGUAAACCAGGCUUUACACACUUUGCGCAAAAGCGCUUGUACCAAGAAACCUACACACAAUGUAACAUGCUGUUAGUUCUCCCAAAUAUUAACCAAAGGUCAGUUCAGCACAACCUUGGUAUCGUAAUUCUUACGCUGAAAUUCAUUACCGCGAAUUACCGCGAAACCGAUAUCGCUGAGUGUUGCUUCUCAAUUUACAAUAAUGGCUGGCAGUGUUGAUUCUACUUUUGUCGAUAGCCACGCAAAGGGACAUAUUACAAAAUUCCACAAAUCUGCAGACCGUAGACGUGGUGUACAAACCACUCCACUCCAGCAUCUUCGACCAGCCAUUUGGUACAAACAUUUGUUAUAAAUAUAAGUGUAUACGGGCGCCUGUGGUGGGGGAGAACAGGGGAUGCUGAAAAUAAAUAUAAAUUUGGGCAAAAAAUGCGGGUGGAAUAAAUUUAAAAACGAGAAAUGUGUAACAUAAUGAUCGAAAAUGCAAAGAUUUCAGAUUAUAGCGGUAAGUUAAAAAAUUCCCUACCCAUCCCCCGCCUAUAGUUUUCCUCCUCCCGUUCGCCUUAUGAUUACAAAUGUCUUACACGGGAAUUGCAGAAACUGACCUAAGGAAUUAAUUUAAUUAAUUCAAUGUAUUAAUUUAGGACGUCAAAACAGUCUCAAGUGAUCUUUAUUAUGGUUUUGGUUCUUUAUGUGAGCACAAGCGCCAUGGAAUUGCGGAAAAGAGGUGGCUGUGAGAAUAUAUGCGCUGGAAAACACCGUCCUUGCCUUCGAGCCUGUGUUGGAAUUGAAGCAUGUGAGCCGUGUCGUCAGGCCAUGGCAGCAUGUGUUCAUGCAUGCCCCUCAAGAAAAAGAAAUCUGAAAGCAUCGACUCGAGCAUUUGAAGAUUCCUUAUUUUGAUCACUAAUUUUUCCCUUAUGACAAUUGUCAAUGAGAACUUAGUUUUGGAACAAAUGACAAUAAUUAUGAUAUUUC